GAUGAACGCUGGCGGCGUGCCUAAUACAUGCAAGUCGAGCGAACGGACGAGAAGCUUGCUUCUCUGAUGUUAGCGGCGGACGGGUGAGUCACACGUGGAUAACCUACCUAUAAGACUGGGAUAACUUCGGGAAACCGGAGCUAAUACCGGAUAAGUUUUUGACCCGCUUGGUUCAAAAGUGAAAGACGGUCUUUCGGUCACUUAUAGCUGGAUCCGCGCUGCAUUAGCUAGUUGGUAAGGUAACGGCUUACCAAGGCAACGAUGCAUAGCCGACCUGAGAGAGUGAUCGGCCACACUGGAACUGAGACACGGUCCAGACGCCUACGAGAGGCAGCAGUAGGGAAUCUUCCGCAAUGGGCGAAAGCCUGACGGAGCAACGCCGCGUGAGUGAUGAAGGUCCUCGGAUCGUAAAACUCUGUUAUUAGGGAAGAACAUAUGUGUAAGUAACUGUGCACAUCUUGACGGUACCUAAUCAGAAAGCCACGGCUAACUACGUG
RNAcentral lists this ribosomal RNA (497 nucleotides) under uncultured bacterium. RNAcentral describes it as "partial 16S ribosomal RNA". It matches the Rfam family "Bacterial small subunit ribosomal RNA", at positions 28 to 507 of the family's 1533-position model. The record is from RNAcentral.